GCCCUAGUAACGGCGAGUGAAGCGGCAACAGCUCAAAUUUGAAAUCUGGCCCUUGGGUCCGAAUUGUAAUUUGUAGAGGAUGAUUUUGGUGCGGUACCUUCCGAGUUCCUUGGAACAGGACGCCUUAGAGGGUGAGAGCCCCGUACGGUAGGAUACCUAGCCUCUGUAAAUCUCCUUCGACGAGUCGAGUAGUUUGGGAAUGCUGCUCUAAAUGGGAGGUAAAUUUCUUCUAAAGCUAAAUACCGGCCAGAGACCGAUAGCGCACAAGUAGAGUGAUCGAAAGAUGAAAAGCACUUUGAAAAGAGGGUUAAAUAGCACGUGAAAUUGUUGAAAGGGAAGGAUUUAUGACCAGACUUUUUCUGGGCAGAUCAUCCGGUGUUCUCACCGGUGCACUUUGCCCAGUUUAGGCCAGCAUCGAUUUCCGGAGGGGGAUAAAAGCUUUGGGAAUGUGGCUCCCUCGGGAGUGUUAUAGCCCAUUGUAUAAUACCUUUCUGGGGAUCGAGGUACGCGCUUCUGCAAGGAUGCUGGCGUAAUGGUUAUCAAUCACCCGUCUUGAAACACGGACCAAGGAGUCGAACAUUUGUGCGAGUGUUUGGGUGUUAAACCCUCACGCGUAAUGAAAGUGAACGGAGGUAAGAGCCCUUACGGGUGCAUUAUCGACCGAUCCUGAAGUUUUCGGAUGGAUUUGAGUAGGAGCAUAAAUGUUCGGACCCGAAAGAUGGUGAACUAUGCGUGGAUAGGGUGAAGCCAGAGGAAACUCUGGUGGAGGCUCGCAGCGGUUCUGACGUGCAAAUCGAUCGUCAAAUCUGCGCAUGGGGGCGAAAGACUAAUCGAACCAUCUAGUAGCUGGUUACCGCCGAAG
This 862-nucleotide ribosomal RNA is filed under the name uncultured fungus. Its description in RNAcentral is "LSU rRNA". It matches the Rfam family "Eukaryotic large subunit ribosomal RNA", at positions 77 to 966 of the family's 3401-position model. Lineage: Eukaryota; Fungi. The record is from RNAcentral.